UCCGGUUUGUCACCGGCAGUCUCCUUAGAGUGCCCUUGCGUAGCAACUAAGGAUAAGGGUUGCGCUCGUUGCGGGACUUAACCCAACAUCUCACGACACGAGCUGACGACAGCCAUGCAGCACCUGUGUUCCCGUUCCCUUUCGGGCACACCCGGCUUUCACCAGGCUCCAGGACAUGUCAAGGGUAGGUAAGGUUUUUCGCGUUGCAUCGAAUUAAUCCACAUAAUCCACCGCUUGUGCGGGUCCCCGUCAAUUCCUUUGAGUUUUAGCCUUGCGGCCGUACUUCCCAGGCGGAGAACUUAAUGCGUUGGCUACGGCACCGCAGGGGUCAACACCCGCGACACCUAGUUCUCAUCGCUUACGGCGUGGACUAC
RNAcentral lists this unclassified non-coding RNA (374 nucleotides) under uncultured Pseudomonadota bacterium. RNAcentral describes it as "uncultured proteobacterium contains 16S-23S intergenic spacer region". The record is from RNAcentral. Lineage: Bacteria; Pseudomonadati; Pseudomonadota.